AAAUUGAAGAGUUUGAUCAUGGCUCAGAUUGAACGCUGGCGGCAGGCCUAACACAUGCAAGUCGAACGGUAACAGGAAACAGCUUGCUGUUUCGCUGACGAGUGGCGGACGGGUGAGUAAUGUCUGGGAAACUGCCCGAUGGAGGGGGAUAACUACUGGAAACGGUAGCUAAUACCGCAUAACGUCGCAAGACCAAAGAGGGGGACCUUCGAGCCUCUUGCUAUCGGAUGUGCCCAGAUGGGAUUAGCUAGUAGGUGGGGUAACGGCUCACCUAGGCGACGAUCCCUAGCUGGUCUGAGAGGAUGACCAGCCACACUGGAACUGAGACACGGUCCAGACUCCUACGGGAGGCAGCAGUGGGGAAUAUUGCACAAUGGGCGCAAGCCUGAUGCAGCCAUGCCGCGUGUAUGAAGAAGGCCUUCGGGUUGUAAAGUACUUUCAGCGGGGAGGAAGGGAGUAAAGUUAAUACCUUU
This 473-nucleotide ribosomal RNA is filed under the name Escherichia coli. RNAcentral's name for it is "bacterial SSU rRNA". It matches the Rfam family "Bacterial small subunit ribosomal RNA", at positions 1 to 470 of the family's 1533-position model. The record is from RNAcentral. RNAcentral also lists the same sequence under 4 other names. Lineage: Bacteria; Pseudomonadati; Pseudomonadota; Gammaproteobacteria; Enterobacterales; Enterobacteriaceae.